Molecule: long non-coding RNA, 631 nt
Organism: Xiphophorus hellerii (green swordtail)
Lineage: Eukaryota; Metazoa; Chordata; Actinopteri; Cyprinodontiformes; Poeciliidae
Exons: 2
Source: RefSeq, a predicted model, not a curated record
ACUAUGUGCCAUGCUGAAUCUGCAUCUGUCCCUGACCAUGAAGUGACCUGAUGGCAGAGCAGAGAGCAGAUUCUUCUCUUCGUCAUCUGUUUGAUCAGGUUGUCACUGAGGAAGAGAGUGUGGCCAGUGGGUACGUGUUGAAGGAUGGAUUGUUGGUAUGGAAAUGGUUGGUACAUGGGGAGGAUUUUGUUGGUGGUCCACUCUGGCAGACUGUUGUUCCCUCUAACUUUCGCAGUGAAGUGUUGCGGGCUUCCCAUGAUCAAUCAGGGCAUUUGGGGGUCCACAAGACUUAUAAUUAUAUCCUGCUUUAUUUUGUCUGGCCUUAGUUAAAAAAAGAUGUCUGAAUAUAUCAAAACCUGCUAUACAUGUCAGAUGGCAGGGAAGCCAAACCAGAACAUUAAGCCGUUCCCUUGUAUCCAAUUCCGGGAAUUAUGCAACCCUUUGAACAUCUCAUUAUUGAUUGUGUUGGUCCUUUGCCUCAGUCUAAGGCUGGGAGUAAUUAUUUGUUGACAGUAAUGUGUCAGACAAUAAGAAAUCCAGAUGAGUAUCCACUCCGUACUAUUACUGCUAGGUCUGUGGUGAAGGCUCUGACCCAGUUUAUUUCUAUUUUUGGUAUUCCAAAAGUUAUCAA